This 14668-nucleotide long non-coding RNA is filed under the name Coffea arabica (coffee). RNAcentral's name for it is "long non-coding RNA (CARA_LNC002985)". The record is from RNAcentral. Lineage: Eukaryota; Viridiplantae; Streptophyta; Magnoliopsida; Gentianales; Rubiaceae.
UAGCACUUAAGCAUGCAAGUCACACAAAGCAAUUAAGGCCCUAACUAUUACAUUUGCUAGCUAGGCACAUGUCUUCAAUAGGUCUUCAUCGAAUGCUCCUCCAAGCCCUAUCUAUUACAAGCCAAGAGGUGUACACAUACCCCAUAAAGGAUAACUUGAAUAAAAAGCAAAAGUAAAUGACAUAAAUAAAAGAAAUUAAAGAAAGGCUAGGAAAGCAAAGUAGACAUGUAUAUUCACAUAACACGUAGGAGCACGUAGGAAAAAUAACGCAAGAAUAUAGAAGUUACCUCCCUUGCAAUGGAAAUCGAGUAAAUGAGAUAUUAGCUUCAAAACAAUAAAAAGGUCACGGUACCUCAAAUAGUAAAGUAUAACAAAGUCACCAAAUCCCCCCUAAUUGCAAUUUAAACAAAAUCAAAUAAUACAUAGUUUCUAAUAGAAGGAUCCGCCAAGGACCCAAUUGCAAGCAUAACAUUUGAAUUCCAUCGAGACAAUUAAGAACUUCAAAGGUCCCGAGAGCCAAGGAAAGAUCAAGUAAUGGUUCAAAUUCAAAUAUCUUAGGACAUAAUUUCAAGGACAUGGAAUGUAAUUGGGCCAUAAUGCAUUGUUGCAAAAAUCACGGGGACCCCAUUGAUUAGUUUUCUCAAUUUUGUGGGUCAUAAUAGCAUAAUGAAACUUGGGGGGGUUAAGGGGCAAUUUUUAGAAAAUACUUUCAUGCAGAACAUGCUAUCUUACGAAGGAAAAUCUGCUUCUGCAACUCAAAACAACAUUUCUGCAGCCAAGAAACCAUCGCAAUUUGCAUUUCAUUUCAUUACCUCAAGUAACAACGCUUCUAUCUCAAACAACUAAACACAUCACUAAGCAUUCAUCUCACUUUCCAUCAUAAGACACUUAUGUUUAAACAUCAGAAAUUCGGACAGGAGAUCAUGCAAAGCAUCAAAAUAACAUUCUGCAAUUUUUCCAGCCAACAGCUUUUCAUUCCUUUUCAUGGUGAAAGUGAAUUUUGAUGAAUAUCCAAAUUUUUAAAAGCAAAACGGGCAAACACGGAAAGUUCUAAAUCAUCCAUUCAGCCAAGCAUCACAUUUUUGUUUUGCCGCAAAAUCAGAGCUGGGAGUCUGAGUUGCUUAGCAGCAAAAGGAACGGCAAGAGACGCAAGCUCUUAUGGGCUUGUUGGUUCGGACACUUGAAAUGCAGCAAGGAUGGAAAGCAAGAAACUUAGGAUAGAUAUGCAUAACUGAACCCCAGAUCAUAGACCUUAAUCAAACUAAAACUUAAGCAACAAAACCAGAGAACUUUGACAUCUGAACCAGCAACGAGCACUUCCAAAUCAGGAAAGGAACAUGCCAUUUCCUUCAAUGAUUUCGCCUACAAUUUUCUGGUGUUUACUGCAAGUUUUUCUUUGUUAACAUGUCAAAACUCCGGGGUUAUGAUUUUAAACAACAAGCAUCAUAGAAAAAUCCAAUCAGCAAUCCAACAAAUCUUCACAAAAACAAACCAUGCCCAAAAUAUACAAAACAGGAAAAAGGAAAGCAAUGGCAAGAGAAACAUCAAAGAGCAAACAUGAUGGAACUAUGGAACGAACCAUCAAACCAGCGGCAAAGAGGGUGACGAUUCAUGUAUCUACUUGGCAGAAUCAUGGUUUUCUAGACUACAAAUUCUGGGUUUGCUUGUAACAAUCAGCCAUAAACUUCAAGCAAGACUCAUAGAUUCACCGGAUGAAAUCAUAUAGAAAGCCUAAAUCCCUACCUCAGAACCCAGUCCAAACCCACGAAAUAUUUCACCAAACAGAAACGUAAAACAGUGGCAUCAACCUGAGCACAUUCAUAGCAAAGAUUCACUCCUCAGAAAGUGCAGAAACGGUAUACUUACAGAGAUAAAAACCUGAGAAAUCGAUGGAAGUUGCACAGAUCUAUGGAGGGAAAGUCCUCUCUUCAACAAUUUCCAGGAGUGACGCGUUUGUCACUUCGAGCGUCGAUUCCACAUGCCUGGAGUUGUUUUCGCCCAGCUGAAACCCUCUUGUCCCUUUUCUCGUUCCUUUUCUUGUUCGUUUAUCUCCUUCCUCACUUCCUAACCUAGCCGCUGCACCCCACUAUCUCCUCUAGCGUUUUCUGUUUCCCUCAGCCAUCACCUCCCUAGUUUUCAAAAACCUUUGCUCUCUCUUGUUUCCUUACUCCGCCGCAACUCUUAUCUGCUGCUUCCCCUUCAAGCUCACCGAAAACUCAGCCCUCAAUCUCGUUCUCUCUUUCUUCUCCCGUUUUUCUUUUCAUCAGCUCUCUCCCCUGUCUUAAAAUUUUCUCGCCGUCACUUACUUCCCUUUUAUGCAGCCACCAACCUCUCCAGCCGUUUCCUUUUUGCUUUUCUUUUUCUCGGCCCUCCCAACUCUCUCCUGCGGCUGCUAACCUCCUCUUCUAUUUAUAUGGGCAUCUCCAAUCCCUAAAACCCAGUCCUACUUCUGCAAUUUGCAGCCAAGGGGCUGCCGAACCUUUCCUUUGCAAGUCGCGGCAGCUCGCAUGCCGCGGAGCAAUUUUUCCUUUUCUUUUUUUUUUUUUUGCAACAACAUUAAAAAUAACAGAAAUAAAUAACAAAAAACACUUUAAUUAAUAUUGGAUGAAAAAUAAACUAGAAACAACAAAAAAUGCAAUUUCCAAAUUCCUCUUUUUUUCAUUUUCCAUUUUCAUCGUUUUUUUCCAUUUUUUCCAAGAAAGCAAAGAAUAAAACAAAAAUGAUUAAAACAUAUAUAUAUUUUUUGAAUGUUUUCCUUUUCCCCUUUUUUUCUUUUUCUAGAAACUCUACGCUAAACUUAAAAACUUAUAAAACAAAAACUAAAAACUAAAAAUUAAAAAACUAAAAAGUGAAUAAAACUAAUAUGACAAAUAAAAAUAAAUAGCAAAUGAACUAGACAAAUUAAAAGGGCAAAAUGAGUAAAACUAAAAUGAAAUAACAACUAAAAGUGCAAAACAAACGAUAAUGAACUAAAAAUGCAAACAAUCUAAAACAAAAAUUAUGAAAUAGAUGCAACAUACAAAUUAUUUAAAAUUUGGUGUCUACAGUUUGCCCCUCUUUGUCUGAGUUUUGAAAAAACUUGAGACAAAGAAGUAGACACCAAAUACUUACCUGUGUUAUUUGGCUGCGCACGUCACGAACGGUGGACGCUUCUGAAACGAGGACUGACCUCUUUUGACAAAAACUUUUAAAAUGGAGAGGAUUCAGACAGGAAAUUUAACGCAGGACCGACCCGAACAGGAAAUUUAAAACGGGACUGGCCCGAACAGGAAUUGAAAAUGGGACUGACCCGAACAGAAAUUUAAAACGGGACUGACCCGAACAGAAAUGUAAACGGGACUGACCCGAACAGAACUUAAACGGGACUGACCCGAAUAGAAAUUAAACGGGAUGAAUUGAAGUGAAAUGGAGUGUUGUUGGGGUUGACCCAUGUUUAUUGGUGAUGCAAAUGACAAAAGAGAAAUGAGGUGUUAAUGAGACUGACCCACGUUUCAGAAUUGCAAUGUAGUGCUCACUGGUGGGACUGACCCAUGUUCCAGUGGCGGGGAAAAUGAAAUGCUCACUAGUGGGGACUAACCCACGGCUAGUGGCUAACGAAAAUGUAAUGCGCACUAGUGGGACUGACCCACGGCUAGUGGCUAAGCAAAAUGAAAUGCACACUAGUGGGACUGACCCACGGCUAGUGGCUAAGCAAAAUAGUGGCUAAGCAAAAUGAAAUGCGCACUAGUGGGUCUGACCCACGGCUAGUGGCUGAGCAAAAUGAAAUGCGCACUAGUGGGACUGACCCACGGCUAGUGGCUAAGCAAAAUGAAAUGCGCACUAGUGGGACUGACCCAUGGCUAGUGGCUGAACAAAAUGAAAUGCGCACUAGUGGGACUGACCCACGGCUAGUGGCUGAACAAAAUGAAAUGGGAAAUUCCAGUAUACUUACCCCCAAAAGGCCCAGAAUUUUGCCCCAGUAGAAAUUAGGUUUCUGCAUCUAAACCAAUAGUUGAUUCUGGAUUGUCACGUUGUUGCACUCUAAUCAAACUUGCUUGCAACAUUUUUGAUUUGCCUUUGUUUACUGGAGGAUCUUUCCGAUACUGGCUCCAGUGCAAGGUGUGAUUGUUUCCAUUUGUACACGCAAUUUCCUGUAAAAGAGAAAAAUCAAAGAAAGUGCCACCAUCAUUUGAUCCAUUUGCCUUUGAGAGUCGCGUAAACAUGAGUCUUUUGAUGCCUUCGAUUACUUUUGCUGCGGCAUCUGACUUAGUUGAAUUUGCCACUUUAAAACUUUUCUACCUUUCCCAGACUGACCAAAGAUGCAUUUUUCCAUAUUAUGAGGUCUGCGUAAUGGCUUUACUGAAUCUCAAACAUUUCCGAAAGAUGACUGAAUCCAAGUAUGCUUUGAGUAAAUCAUAGGGGUUGUUAUUCACCAAAAUUCAAUGAUAAAGAAUGAUGUAUUCACAUGUCAUGGAAGAGCGAAUAUGCGCAAGAAUGUACACAUAACCAUUUGUGCUUAAAUGCUACAAAAAUAUCGUGAAUGCCAGUAAUUUUGAAAAAAUGAGCUUCCUAAGAAUGUAUUUGCAAAAGAAUGUUUUACAAAAUGACUCAGCUUUGGCCAAUGGAUGUCAUAUUCAAAUCUCUGAAUAUCUUUGUUCUGGAAUUCAAUAUUGGCAGAAAUAUGACAAAAAUGAGGAGAAAUCCGAAUGAAUCAAACCACCGGUUGUUCCUCCUUGUGCUUACUACCUUGGCGCCCUUUCGGGUUUUCACCAAGGUUGCCCCCCACCUCUUUUGUUUUGCUCUUCUCUUUUUUUCUUUUUUUUUCUCUUUUCUUCUUUUUUUUUUCCUUUGCUUUUGAGUUGCCCUUUUGGGUCUUCAUCUAAGGACAAUGAAGCACCUCAACCAUGAUCGACUCAGACAUGUAAGUUGAAGAUUGCUGGCAUCAGCAAAAUGCACUUCCCUUGUAAGAUUAUGCGAAGGCAUUAUGGACAUCCCUUGCCAGUUGAUUAGCGAAAUUCCCAAUAGAAAUACAACAAGUGACGAAAGCCAGGACUUUGGGCUUUUGUAAUGAGGUCAGGUGGGGUGUUUUUCAAAGAAAGUUGAGGCCUGAAAGCAAAUUUUGAUGAGAGGCGUGAAAUAACCUGAGAUUGCAUCAUUUUGAAAUUAUCUCCAAUUUUUGAACGAAACCGAGGAAAUUUUGCCCCAGUUUGCUUGGAUUUUUCUUUCUUUGCAUUUUCUUCAUUGCAUUCUUCUUACUUUUUGCAUUUUUCUUCAAAAACUAGAUUUGCCCCAGUGUGGGGUUCUUUUCCCUUUUCAUUUCUCUUUCAAAAUAAAUUUGCCCCAGUGUCGGGGUUCUUUCUUUUCCUCAGAUCUCUUUCAAAUAUAAAUUUGCCCCAGUGUGGGGAUUUUCUUUUCUUUCUGAUCAUUUUUCAAAAUGAAUUUGCCCCAGUGUGGGGUUUGCAAUUCUCAGGGGUUGCCAAACGAAAAUUAUUGUUCUGAUAGCUCAAAGGAGAUGACUAGGGAUGAAAUGUUUUGAUUGGAAAGGAAGAUGGCCUGACUUUUGCCUCGUCUCUUGGAUGAUUUCCUAGAAGGAAUUUACAUAAUCAAAUAAAGAAUUUCUUACACAUGUCUGAGUUGAUAAGUUGAGGGAAAGUCGGUCCGUCCAUCUCUGUUAAAAACAAGUACUCCGCCCGGUAGCCCCUUUUGAACGACAAAUGACCCGGCCAGUUUAGAAUCAAAUUCACCUUUGACCUCAUCUUGCAAUGGCAACUUCGCUUUAGAACUUUGUCCCUUUUUCAAAGAAUCGCCGGUGGACCUUUUUGUUAUGAACACAGGCCAUGCGUUUUGACAACAUUGGUCAUGGCACAUAGCAUUCAACUGCUUUUCAUCAAUCAAAAUCAAUCGUUAAUGACACUGCUUUAACCAAUCAACUUUCAACCUGGCUGGAAAGGGAUUUUCUCAAAUGAAGGGAUUUAUCAAUGAAGGAAUUUCUCAAAUGAAGGGAUUUUUCCAUGGUUUUUCUCAAUGAUGACUUUCUCAAAGAAGGGAUUUCUCAAUGAAAGCUUUCUCAAAGAAGGGAUUUCUCAAUGAAGGGAUUUCUCAAAUGAAGGGAUUUUUUCAUGAAGGGAUUUCUCAAUGAAGGCUUUCUCAAAGAAGGGAUUUUUUCAUGAAAGGACUUUUUUCAAUGUAUGGCUUCAUCGGAUUCCGGAACAGGGAUAUUCAAAGGGUCAAAUAAUUUUAUUUUUGGCCAUCGAAAGAAUUUAGAAUGAAAUUGAAAAUGGUAAUCAACCAAUAUAAACAAAAUGGUAUCGAACAAACAAAAUGAUGAAAAGAUGCAAUUAUGCAUGCUAUUGAAACACAGGAGCUUGAUAAAAACUGUUUUAGCCAAAACUUGAAUUUGACAAAGCUAUUUACACAACAACAGUGAAAACUUUCAUGAAUUCUUAGCAAAUCACAAUCCCCAGAUUUACCAAAAUUCCCUUCAAGAGGGAAAACACUCGGCCAUCCAAAUUGUGCAAAGCUCCUUCAAGACUUUCAAAUUUCGUCUUUGGAGAUAGAUGCCUCAAAGGCGCCUUUGUGUUCGCGAAAGGGAUUCGUACUUAUGCUCGACCCUUGUUCUGCAUUUCUUCUAAUCACUAUUUCCCCCGCUUUGAUCAUUUCUUGAACUUUCUGUUUAAGUGCUCUACAACCAGUAGUUGGGUGGCCAGGUACUCCCGAAUGAUAGGCACAAGUAUACUGUGGAUUGUAUCCGGAACGGACGCCAUGAGGAUAAGUUGGAGGGGGAAUUUCGCCGAUUUUACCGGCGGCUUUUAAUUGUUCAUAUAAUUGGUCCAAAGGCCUGCCAAGAUUGGUGAAUGUUUGAGAACGAUUUUGAUCGUGGGUUUCAGUGGGUUGGGGGUAGUUGUAGGUGGGUCUGUUUGGUGGAGGCAUUCUUGGAUUGAGUGGAGGCCGAUGACGGUUUUGGUGAGAAUUUGGUUGAGAAAUUUGGAAAGGGGCUAAAGGCGAGUUGGUGUAAUUAGGGCAAGGUCGAGGAUGAGGGAUAUUGGUGUGAUAAACAGGAUAAGGGUUUGAAUAAUAGGAGUAAGGGUUUGAGUAGGUAGGGUAUUGUCGAAAUCUGGGCUUUGAAAUAGGGUUUCGAUCCCAAACAAAAGCAAUUUCCCCCUCUUGCCUUUUGGAUUGUUGCUUCUUCCCAUUACUACCUUGGCUUUGCAAAGCAUCCAACUGGGACUUGAGGGCAGAGACAUUAACAAUCUUCCUAGCUUUCACGAAGUCAUCGAACUCUUCAAGCUUAUUGACAAUAGCGGCAAACGAGCAUCCAGUCAUGCGAAAAAUUUCUUCAAAGUACGGCGGAUCAUGUGUCUUAAUGAAAGUGCGUAUGAUUUCGUCCUCAGUCAUUGGUAGCUCGACUUUGGCAGCUAUUUUCCUCCACCUCUUGGCAUAAGUCUUGUGAUCCUCGGAGGGUUUCCUCUUUGUCCCUUCCAACGUGGUUCGUGUUGGAGCCAGCUCGCAAUUAUACUCGUACUGCUUUACAAAAGCGUUGGACAAGUCAAGCCAGGUCUUCGCUUCUUGGGGUUUCAGCUUGAAAUACCAGUCGAGUGCAUCCCCCUCCAGACUUUCUGGGAAUAGCCUCAAAGGCAGAUUUUCAUCAUCUGCUAGCCUACCCAACUUGUUGGCGAACAAUCGGAGAUGCAUCUUGGGAUUGCCCGUCCCAUCAUAUUUGUUAAACUUCGGGGUUUUGAACCCUUCAGACAAUUGCACAUUUGGGAAAAGGCAAAGUUCAUCGUAAUCCAGGACUUCUUGCUUGUUCAACCCCUGACUCUUCCUUAUAAACUCAUCAAAACGGUCAAGGCGUUUGAGCAGCUUUAUAUCAACGGGAGCGGAAGAUUCCCCAAUUUCUGGCUUGGUUUGAAUAGUAUGGUCUGGUAGGAAAGGCUCAGCUGUAUCGUGAUAAAAGGUAUGCGGCUUAGGAGGUAUAUUCGAAGUGAUUUGGGGUUAUGGGCCUUGCAUGUAAGUAGGGAAGAAUGAAUGAUCAGGAGGGCAAGUGGAUGGCAAAUGUAUGGUGGGAUAUGUGAAAGUUCCUUCGGGUGGAAUAGGUAAAGAUGGAAUAACGGUGACUUGAAUUGAAGGGAUGACAAAUGGCUCUUGCUCAGCCUGCUUGACGGGUAUAGGUUCGGGUUGAACUCCGCUGCUGAUUAGCUUGUCAAUCAAUUUCCUUUGGGCCGCCAUCUCAGUGGUCAUCUUGUCGAACUUAGUGAGCAUCUCAGUCAACUGAAUCCCCAAACUCAUGGUCUCGGGUUGAGCGGUAAUAGCAGACCUAUCUGAUUGUUCCGGUUGUGAACUCAUGUUUACACGACUCCUUUGAGCUUGGCUACGGGAUCGUGUUAUGAUGGGGCUUCGACGAGAAGCUAUGUUUAAAUAUUACCUGAGAAUUUUGAAAGGAAUUGCCUUUAGAUUUAACCCUUGCUUAGUUAUUAUAAUAAAAAUAAAGAAAAGAAAGAGAAAAAGGCAAGAGUUAGUAGAUAUCCAGGAAAUUCGGAUGCAUGUCCUAUGGGGAAACCCUUUUUGUGCCAAGGGUAGGCCUAGCAUGAAAAUGCAAUCCUCUAGGGUAGGCACUAUACCAUACCUGAUGGAUCUGAUUAACUCAUUUAAGUGAAAAAUAAUUUUAAAAAAUUUGGUCAAUUGGAGUGACGAGAGACAUUUGUCAAAAUGAUGUCAACGUCCAAAUGGAUUGAUCACUUUUGAUCGAUACAAGAGUUUGCAAAAACGCACGGGUUUGACCUUGACGAACUUCCUAUCGAAGAGAUUGGAAUUCGUUGACCAAAUUUUUUCAGUGAAGCACGGGUCAAAACCCCAACUGAUCAAAUGGCUGGAUGCAAUGGAUGGUUUUCUCAAAAAUCGACUAAGUUCCCAAUUUGAAAUUCGACAUUGAAACCCUAAUUGGUCGAAUGGGUUUGAAUGAAAUUGACAAUUUAUUUAAAAUCGACCGAAUUACCCUAAAAAGGUAAACUGGUCAAAUGUAUCGGAUGAUUUAUUCAAAAUUGACAAGAUCACCCUAAAAAAGGAUAAAGUGGUCAAAUGCAUUGAAUGAAAUUUGAUUAUUUGUUCAAAAAUCGACCAGAUCACCCUAAAAAGGAUAAAUUGGUCAAAUGAAUUGAAUUAAUAAUUUAUUCAAAAAUCGACCAAAUCACCCAAAAAGGGUAAAUUAGUCAAAUGAAUUGAUUGAAAUUGAUGAUUUAUUCAAAAAUCGACCAAAUCACCCAAAAAGGGUAAAUUAGUCAAAUGAAUUGAUUGAAAUUGAUGAUUUAUUCAAAAAUCGACCAAAUCACCCUAAAAAGGGUAAAUUGGUCAAAUGAGAUGAAAUGGAAUUGAUGAUCUCUUCAAAAUCGACCAGAUCACCCAAAAAGGGUAAAUUGGUCAAAUGAAUUGAAUGAAAUUGACGAUUUAUUAAAAAAUCGACCAGAUCACCCAAAAAAGGGUAAAUUGGUCAAAUGAAUUCCAAAUCGACUAGGUACCCUUAAAAAUGAACAAGUUGAUAAAAUGGACUGGAUGAAAUUGAUGAAUAAAAUGAUCCAAUGGACUGAAUGGAAUUAACGGCUUAUUGCGAUGCAUUAGUCUAUGAGCCUUUUAAAAUCAAAUUUUGGCCUCAGUUUAUUUAUCGUCUCAAUAGCGAGGAAUUGUUUGUGAAUUUCUUCAAAUUAAUGUCCUUCACGCAAGGAAUUUUUACCAAUUUUUGAUAAAAUGGCCAAAAAGUGAUUAUUAGAUGCUCAUAUUCCAAAGAUCACUCUAUGAAAAUGAUCGGAUCCUACCUUACCUUGUGCACUACCCCUUUGGAUGGUACAAAAUGUAAACGUGCAAGUCUCACUGGAUUAAGUAUCCGAGACACAAUGUGGCUUAUUCCUAAACACGGGAUUCCCUAUGUGGCAUUCCCUUUCUAAGGUUUAUGCAUGAUGCCAUUUUCAUCAAAACAGGAAAAAUGCAAUUCGAAAUGAAACGUGACCUAAGGAACCCUUUAUUUGCCAGGGUAAGCCUAAAAUGGUAUGGCAUUAUUAAUUUAUGAACAAAAUAUACCGAAAUUUCUAAACGUGCAAUAGCCUAUCUACAAGGGUAAGUCCUAAAAGAAGAUCAUGCCAGACCUCUUACUUCCUAACGUUUGUGAAUGCAAAAGAUAAGAAACAAGGAAACGUUAGUUCAUAACACAUAAUCACAUAACACGUUGGACAAUUAGAUGAUAUAAAAGCAACAAAGAAUAAGGAAAGAGGGAUAGGACCCCUCCCCUCGUGAAUAGUGUUCCUAAUUUAGGGUAAGGUCGACUCUACCCUAGGCAAUUAAAAUGGAUGCAUGAGGUUUGGCUCACUAAUGCAUCUAGACUCGAUAAACUCAGGUCCCCGAGCAUUCAGACUUGGAAACCAAAGGUCAUCACUCCCAAGGUUCCUUGUCGGUGGCUCGAGCGAUUCCCCAGACAUUGCUACGCACACGUCGUGUCACGGCUACAUGUCUGAGUGAAUCUAUCAAAAUCCUCAAUCUUCGAUUAAAAGCUAUAGGCUAUUAACCCAAAGCUUAAAGCGGAAGAUUAAGUGACCCCUCGGAUCGUGCUACGCACACGUCGUGUCAUGAUCACACGUCUAAGUGGGUCGCCUAAAAUCCUAAUAGGGUGGAGUGGCGUGACAAGCCACUAAAAGAAAAAUAAAUGAGGGGUAAAAAAUUAAAGCGUAUGCACGUAUGCUAGUGCUCGUUUGGAAGGGAGGGAUCAAGAACCAACGCGAGGCUCUAGGGUGAUGUCCCCCACCCAAAUGCAAUGCAGGCGCGAAGUGAACAUACAUCCAAUCAAUCAAUCAUACAUUCGCGAACGAGGGAGUAGUUGGACACGUGUGAAAUGCAAAAAUCCUAAAAAGGAAAACUGCAACCCUAAAACACCCAAAUGUGAUAUAUGAAAGGGUUAAAAGAAGAAAAAGGUUGAUUAAAUCAAAUUUGCUCGGACUCUCAAAUUUCCCCAGUGGAGUCGCCAACUGUCGCGCCCCAUUUUUUGAUAAAAUAAAUAAAUGUUUGAAAAAAUGUAUUUUUUGUAAUUGGAAAAUGAAUUGUGAUUUGAAAAAAUGGAUCUAAAUGGGGGGGUUGAGAAUGCGACGAUUUGACCCAAAAUUAUAGUUUAAAAAGGGUUUUUUUUUUAAAUGAAAAUUGGAGUCGCCACUUGGUAAUGAGUUAAGGUGUACCAAGUCACCAAAAAAUAAAUUUUUAAAGAUUCAAUAGGAAGAAGUAGUAAGAAACCCCUUUUAAACGACUCCUAGUCUACGUAAACCAAAGAAAAAGGUUCGGGAGUCACAUUUGACAAAGGGGAAGGCAAGGAUAAAAUCCAAGGCAUCCCUUUGACCUAGCCAAGGCUAGUUGCAUGAUUUAGUCAAAGAUUUUCUUGUUUUAAUCAAAGAAUUUACCACAUUUGGAUGCACUACAUGAAUGCAAACCCUAGACCUAGGGGUAUUGGGGGAAAUUUCUCUUCAAAGGUUGAGUGGUGCCAAUCACAUUAAUUGCGAAGCCCAAUAACGAUCCUUUGAAGAAGUCACGAAUAAUGCGAGAGGGAUGCAAAUGAAUGGAAUGCAUGUAUGCAAUGUGAGGAUAUAAGUUUGAAAAAAUGUAAUAAAAGACAAUAAAUAUGUAAAUGAAAAUGUGCACGUGAGUGGGCAAGUUACGGUAUGUGAAAUGAUAAUAUGAAGUGCAUGUGUGCAAGUGAUAAUAAAAGUGUUCGUGUGCAAAUGAAGAAACAUAAAGGUGCACGUGUGCAAAGUGGGAGGAAAAAUGAAAGUGUGAUGAGAGUAUAAAAGGGUAGAGUAGAUUUAAAAAUGCAUGAGCCUAGGGAAUUCAUGCAUAUUGGGUACGGGGAGACCUAAAUCGUGACUCAAUUUGCCCUUUUAUAGAGGGAAUACAAGCGUGCUAAGGCUUAGAAAAAGCCACACUCGUCUAUAUCCCAUAUUAAGGGGACUCUCAAGCAAAUGAAUCCUAUAACUAGCAUGAAAUGCAAAAAUCCUAAAAUGCGAGGAAAAGGGGUUCGAGGGGCAUGCAAAAUGAUAAAACUAAAAAGAAUGCAUGACAUGUAAUGAACAUGCAAACAUGUACUAACGAGAGGAAAUCCCUAAGGGUCUAGCGUUGGACUAGCCCAUUCUAUGAAUUCCGACUAGCGUUGGACUAGUGGAAACGUACAUUCAUCCAUCACAUUCAUUCAUGGUCAUGGAAAGCGAGUAGACAUGCCAAACACUUAUAAACACAUAGCACAUAACAUUUACCAUGCUCGACUAGAUGCAAGGGUCUAAUAAAGCAAGUUAACACGUAGCACUUAAGCAUGCAAGUCACACAAAGCAAUUAAGGCCCUAACUAUUACAUUUGCUAGCUAGGCACAUGUCUUCAAUAGGUCUUCAUCGAAUGCUCCUCCAAGCCCUAUCUAUUACAAGCCAAGAGGUGUACACAUACCCCAUAAAGGAUAACUUGAAUAAAAAGCAAAAGUAAAUGACAUAAAUAAAAGAAAUUAAAGAAAGGCUAGGAAAGCAAAGUAGACAUGUAUAUUCACAUAACACGUAGGAGCACGUAGGAAAAAUAACGCAAGAAUAUAGAAGUUACCUCCCUUGCAAUGGAAAUCGAGUAAAUGAGAUAUUAGUUUCAAAACAAUAAAAAGGUCACGGUACCUCAAAUAGUAAAGUAUAACAAAGUCACCAAAUCCCCCCUAAUUGCAAUUUAAACAAAAUCAAAUAAUACAUAGUUUCUAAUAGAAGGAUCCGCCAAGGACCCAAUUGCAAGCAUAACAUUUGAAUUCCAUCGAGACAAUUAAGAACUUCAAAGGUCCCGAGAGCCAAGGAAAGAUCAAGUAAUGGUUCAAAUUCAAAUAUCUUAGGACAUAAUUUCAAGGACAUGGAAUGUAAUUGGGCCAUAAUGCAUUGUUGCAAAAAUCACGGGGACCCCAUUGAUUAGUUUUCUCAAUUUUGUGGGUCAUAAUAGCAUAAUGAAACUUGGGGGGGUUAAGGGGCAAUUUUUAGAAAAUACUUUCAUGCAGAACAUGCUAUCUUACGAAGGAAAAUCUGCUUCUGCAACUCAAAACAACAUUUCUGCAGCCAAGAAACCAUCGCAAUUUGCAUUUCAUUUCAUUACCUCAAGUAACAACGCUUCUAUCUCAAACAACUAAACACAUCACUAAGCAUUCAUCUCACUUUCCAUCAUAAGACACUUAUGUUUAAACAUCAGAAAUUCGGACAGGAGAUCAUGCAAAGCAUCAAAAUAACAUUCUGCAAUUUUUCCAGCCAACAGCUUUUCAUUCCUUUUCAUGGUGAAAGUGAAUUUUGAUGAAUAUCCAAAUUUUUAAAAGCAAAACGGGCAAACACGGAAAGUUCUAAAUCAUCCAUUCAGCCAAGCAUCACAUUUUUGUUUUGCCGCAAAAUCAGAGCUGGGAGUCUGAGUUGCUUAGCAGCAAAAGGAACGGCAAGAGACGCAAGCUCUUAUGGGCUUGUUGGUUCGGACACUUGAAAUGCAGCAAGGAUGGAAAGCAAGAAACUUAGGAUAGAUAUGCAUAACUGAACCCCAGAUCAUAGACCUUAAUCAAACUAAAACUUAAGCAACAAAACCAGAGAACUUUGACAUCUGAACCAGCAACGAGCACUUCCAAAUCAGGAAAGGAACAUGCCAUUUCCUUCAAUGAUUUCGCCUACAAUUUUCUGGUGUUUACUGCAAGUUUUUCUUUGUUAACAUGUCAAAACUCCGGGGUUAUGAUUUUAAACAACAAGCAUCAUAGAAAAAUCCAAUCAGCAAUCCAACAAAUCUUCACAAAAACAAACCAUGCCCAAAAUAUACAAAACAGGAAAAAGGAAAGCAAUGGCAAGAGAAACAUCAAAGAGCAAACAUGAUGGAACUAUGGAACGAACCAUCAAACCAGCGGCAAAGAGGGUGACGAUUCAUGUAUCUACUUGGCAGAAUCAUGGUUUUCUAGACUACAAAUUCUGGGUUUGCUUGUAACAAGCCAUAAACUUCAAGCAAGACUCAUAGAUUCACCGGAUGAAAUCAUAUAGAAAGCCUAAAUCCCUACCUCAGAACCCAGUCCAAACCCACGAAAUAUUUCACCAAACAGAAACGUAAAACAGUGGCAUCAACCUGAGCACAUUCAUAGCAAAGAUUCACUCCUCAGAAAGUGCAGAAACGGUAUACUUACAGAGAUAAAAACCUGAGAAAUCGAUGGAAGUUGCACAGAUCUAUGGAGGGAAAGUCCUCUCUUCAACAAUUUCCAGGAGUGACGCGUUUGUCACUUCGAGCGUCGAUUCCACAUGCCUGGAGUUGUUUUCGCCCAGCUGAAACCCUCUUGUCCCUUUUCUCGUUCCUUUUCUUGUUCGUUUAUCUCCUUCCUCACUUCCUAACCUAGCCGCUGCACCCCACUAUCUCCUCUAGCGUUUUCUGUUUCCCUCAGCCAUCACCUCCCUAGUUUUCAAAAACCUUUGCUCUCUCUUGUUUCCUUACUCCGCCGCAACUCUUAUCUGCUGCUUCCCCUUCAAGCUCACCGAAAACUCAGCCCUCAAUCUCGUUCUCUCUUUCUUCUCCCGUUUUUCUUUUCAUCAGCUCUCUCCCCUGUCUUAAAAUUUUCUCGCCGUCACUUACUUCCCUUUUAUGCAGCCACCAACCUCUCCAGUCGUUUCCUUUUUGCUUUUCUUUUUCUCGGCCCUCC